UUGAACGCUGGCGGCCUGCUUUACCCCUGCCAGUCGCACGGCAGCGCGGGCUUCGGCCUGGCGGCGAGUGGCGAACGGGUGAGUAAUGCAUCGGAACGUGCCCAGUAGUGGGGGAUAGCCCGGCGAAAGCCGGAUUAAUACCGCAUACGACCUGAGGGUGAAAGCGGGGGACCGAAAGGCCUCGCGCUAUUGGAGCGGCCGAUGUCGGAUUAGCUAGUUGGUGGGGUAAAGGCUUACCAAGGCGACGAUCCGUAGCUGGUCUGAGAGGACGACCAGCCACACUGGGACUGAGACACGGCCCAGACUCCUACGGGAGGCAGCAGUGGGGAAUUUUGGACAAUGGGGGCAACCCUGAUCCAGCCAUGCCGCGUGCGGGAAGAAGGCCUUCGGGUUGUAAACCGCUUUUGUUCGGGAAGAAAUACUCUGGGCUAAUACCCCGGGGGGAUGACGGUACCGGAAGAAUAAGCACCGGCUAACUACGUG
This 483-nucleotide ribosomal RNA is filed under the name uncultured bacterium. RNAcentral's name for it is "partial 16S ribosomal RNA". It matches the Rfam family "Bacterial small subunit ribosomal RNA", at positions 29 to 507 of the family's 1533-position model. The record is from RNAcentral.